RNAcentral lists this long non-coding RNA (1061 nucleotides) under Vigna radiata. Its description in RNAcentral is "long non-coding RNA (VRAD_LNC006160)". The record is from RNAcentral. Lineage: Eukaryota; Viridiplantae; Streptophyta; Magnoliopsida; Fabales; Fabaceae.
GACAGAACACUUGCUNUCACAACUUCACCAUCACAACCAUACACAUAUCACCCGCACAUUCAAAGUCAACCAAAUUCAUUGACCAAUAAUUAAUUAAAAAUACUCAAAUAAUUAAAUCAAUCAAUUUUUCACAAUAAUAAUAAUUUAAUUAUUUUCCUACUUGCGCACCCCUGUGAAAUUAAUAAUCUCACCCUUCCAUUCCACUAGAACCAUUAUUUCUAGUGCACCCCCGCUUUUACUAAAAUCACAACACAUAAUAAAACACACUUUUUCAUGUACCCCUUUUUAUCUUAAAUACACCCCCUCUCUUAAAUUUACCAACCAAGUGGACCCCAUUAAUCUUUUUAAUUUUAAACUCAAACUUUAUAAUUUUCUUUUUCUCUCUCCAAGUGGANCCCACUUGAAUUACUCUUUUCUCACAAAACUCUCUUUCUCUCUCCAUUUUUCCUACUUUACGUAACAUCUCUCCCUUCUCUCUUUCUCUUUUAUUUUCAAUACACAAAAAUUUCACUUUGCCUAUCUUUCUCUCUCAAAAACCGUGGACCCUACACCACUUUCCAUACCUACACUACAAUUUUCCAUUUCACUCUUCUCUCUCUUCCUUUCAAAGCUCACGGCCCCACACCUCUUCCCCAUUCUUUUAUUAUUUUUUUUUUCACUCACAUUCUCUACAAUUUACGUAACUCCCAUGCACUCACACCUUCAUCCCUUCUUUCUUUUUCUNCUNUGACUUUUCAACACCCAUUUUAACUCACUUUUCUUCUACUAUUCACGUAAACCAACACCUCUUCCAUUUUAUUCAACUUUUCAACCCCAAANUCCACAUCCAUUCCCCCUUUCUUUACGUCCCAGCAUGCAACCCCUUCUCCAUCUCUUUCAUUUUUUUUUUCUUCAACCCUUAUUUAACUUAUCCUUCUUUGCUUCCAAAGACCCUUCAAGUUUCUCUCUUCAUGGUUGUUGCUCCUCUUGCAGCCCCUUUCCUUUUCUUUGCAAAUUCCAUGUUUUUCCUUCAUGAUCUUAUUAUUCCCAUGCAACCAAGCUUCUUCUUUCUUCACCAUUUC